Molecule: ribosomal RNA, 406 nt
Filed under: uncultured bacterium
Lineage: Bacteria
Description: partial 16S ribosomal RNA
Rfam family: Bacterial small subunit ribosomal RNA
Source: RNAcentral
AUUGAACGCUGGCGGCAGGCCUAAAACAUGCAAGUCGAACGAGUGGCGGACGGGUGAGUAAUUUCUGGGAAACUGUCUGAUGGAGGGGGCUAACUACUGGAACCGGUAGCUAAUACCGCAUACCAUCGGAUGUGCCCAGAUGGGAUUAGCUAGUAGGUGGGGUAAAGGCUCCCCUAGGCGACGAUCCCUAGCUGGUCUGAGAGGAUGACCAGCCACACUGGAACUGAGACACGGUCCAGACUCCUACGGGAGGCAGCAGUGGGGAAGAUUGCACAAUGGGCGAAAGCCUGAUGCAGCCAUGCCGCGUGUAUGAAGAAGGCCUUCGGGUUGUAAAGUACUUUCAGCGGGGAGGCGUUACCCGCAGAAGAAGCACCGGCUAACUCCGUGCCAGCAGCCGCGGUAAUUC